GCACGGACCAAGGAGUUUAUCGUGUACGCAAGUCAUUGGGUAAAUGAAACCCAAAGGCGAAAUGAAAGUAAAGAGUAGUGUUAUUGGAUUUUAUUCUUUAACCCUCUUGAGGGAAGAUAGAAAUCUUGUAAAUAAAAAUGUUUUUUAUUCUAUAGAAAAUAUUUGUUUAUGUAGAUUUCUGGCAUUCCCGGGGCGCUUUGUUUUACGCUUUGCGUAUCGAUGCGCACCUAGAGCGUACACGCUGAUACCCGAAAGAUGGUGAACUAUGCCUGGCCAGGACGAAGCCAGGGGAAACCCUGGUGGAGGUCCGCAGCGAUUCUGACGUGCAAAUCGAUCGUCGGAGCUGGGUAUAGGGGCGAAAGACCAAUCGAACCAUCUAGUAGCUGGUUCCCUCUGAAGUUUCCCUCAGGAUAGCUUGCGCUCGGUUGAGACGAGUCUCAUCCGGUAGAGCGAAUGAUUAGAGGCAUUGGGGUCGAAACGACCUCAACCUAUUCUCAAACUCCAAAUAGAUGAGAACCCCGGCUUUCUUAAAAUUGAAGCCGUGGGAUUCGGAUCAGAGUGCCAAGUGGGCCAAUUUUGGUAAGCAGAACUG
This 592-nucleotide ribosomal RNA is filed under the name Microlestria fuscicollis. RNAcentral describes it as "eukaryotic LSU rRNA". It matches the Rfam family "Eukaryotic large subunit ribosomal RNA", at positions 659 to 1152 of the family's 3401-position model. The record is from RNAcentral. Lineage: Eukaryota; Metazoa; Arthropoda; Insecta; Hemiptera; Reduviidae.